Molecule: ribosomal RNA, 448 nt
Filed under: uncultured bacterium
Lineage: Bacteria
Description: partial 16S ribosomal RNA
Rfam family: Bacterial small subunit ribosomal RNA
Source: RNAcentral
CCAGACUCCUACGGGAGGCAGCAGUGGGGAAUAUUGGGCAAUGGGCGCAAGCCUGACCCAGCAACGCCGCAUGAAGGAAGAAGGCUUUCGGGUUGUAAACUUCUUUUCUCAGGGACGAAGAAAGUGACGGUACCUGAGGAAUAAGCCACGGCUAACUACGUGCCAGCAGCCGCGGUAAUACGUAGGUGGCAAGCGUUAUCCGGAUUUACUGGGUGUAAAGGGCGUGUAGGCGGGAGUGCAAGUCAGAUGUGAAAACCACGGGCUCAACCUGUGGCCUGCAUUUGAAACUGUACUUCUUGAGUACUGGAGAGGCAGACGGAAUUCCUAGUGUAGCGGUGAAAUGCGUAGAUAUUAGGAGGAACACCAGUGGCGAAGGCGGUUUGCUGGACAGCAACUGACGCUGAGGCGCGAAAGCGUGGGGAGCAAACAGGAUUAGAUACCCCAGUAG